RNAcentral lists this long non-coding RNA (1899 nucleotides) under Marmota monax (woodchuck). The record is from RNAcentral. Lineage: Eukaryota; Metazoa; Chordata; Mammalia; Rodentia; Sciuridae.
UUUGCUUUAUAUCCUAUUCAUGCUACAAAAGCCUCCUGCCAUGAAGAAACGAAACAAGCCCAUCCCAUUUUCAGUUUGAAACUGAGUCACAGUUUUCUCAAAUAACUCAAAUAUUGUGCUUCACUUUACUUUAUUAACAGGUGGCAUAUUGAUGCACCCAUUUCAUUGAUGUGGCACAGGGAACAGCCCCAUUUGAAGUCAAAGGAUGCUGACUCCAAAGAGUCCCUCGGAGCUGUCCUGAAACACAGUAGCAGAUUGCAUCAUGCAGCAUUAUACCAUGAGAGACUCAAAUGGCUGCUAGGCAAAUGGCAGCCUGAGGAUUUAAGAGCUCUUUAAAGGAAAUACAAAUAUGUGCCAUGGAAAUGGCUGAGAACACAUUCAGCUAAAUAAACAGCAGUAGGUAGGCUUUUUAGUUUCUAAAGCACAGUGUCUUCUUGAAUAUUUUCCCAUUCUAUCUCCAAGUAGUUUAUUUAAUCCAAGUUGGUCAGUGCAGAUGUUCUACCACACCCUCGGGUGAAUUUUAAUAACAUAGAUAUUAGUAGUUCUGUGUCUGCAGAGCGUGACCUCUUUGGAACCCACCUGCCUGGCUUUGCAUUCUUGCCUCUGCCAGGCACUAGCCUGUGCCCAUGGUGAAGUUCACAUCAUCUCUGUGUGCACCACAGAGAAUCUUCAUCUCUACAAUGGGGACAGCAAUGGAAUCUAUCUUUUGAGUUUGUUAUGAGGAUUAUAGUAGUUGAUCCAUGUGAAGAACCUGGAAUACUACCUCCACACACUAAGAAUCUUGCCAGCAUUAUCUCCUGUGCCAUCAAAAGGGGAAAAUCAUCAUGAUGGGGGUCACUGAACAAGAUAUAGAUUUCGUUUGAAAUUUAAAAAAGAAAAUUGUAUCACAUGGAGUGGACAAGUAUGAGGUUUUAGAUCACACAAACCUCAGGCUGUGUCUUGGAUCUGCUUCCUAUUGGAGUUGACAUUCAUGUAACUUCUCCAAGCCUCAUUUUCCUUAUCUGUUAAAAAAUGCCCACAGUAUGAGGAUUAGUGAAUGGAAACCACAGGAGGCGGCGGCGGCGGCAUUCCUCAGAGCCUGGGAGUCUGGGUUCAGACCCCCUGCCUCUUCCUACCUAAGUGACUGCUAGAGUUUGGAUCUUUAAUGCCACCCCCCAGGCCCAUGUGUUCAAGCCUUGGCCCCCAGGCUGGCACUACGAGGAGGUACUGGAACAUUGAGGAGGAGGAGCUAAUGCCAGGUCUUUGGGUCAUUUAGGAUAUGUCCUUGAAGGGGGCUGUGGGAGGAUGGCCCACUGUUCUUCCUCUCCUUCACUUUCUGGCCCUAGGAGAACAGACCAGCUCCAUUACUUGGUCCUGUUGUAAAGUGGUGCCUUGCUGUGGGCCUGAGGGAAAGAGGCCACUCCAUCAGCCAUGGGUGACUGGAACCACUGAAACUGUGAGCCAAGGAAAGAGUGUGUGUGUGUGUGUGUGUGUGUGUGUAGAUAGGUAGAGAAAUAUAUAGAUAAAUAUAGAAAGAUCUACAUAUAUAUAAGGUAUUUAUUAUAAUAGCAUAAAACUGACUAACAUGGUGAUGAUGGAAAUGACAUUUAUCCUAUCUGAACAUCGGUUUCUCCAUCUGAAACAAAGGAGCAAUAAAGCCUCUCCUGUGGUGUUGGGUGUCGGUUAAGUGAGACCUGUGUGCAGUUCCUAAUGUGUCAUCGGUGCUCAAGAGAUUGUAACAGUUUUAUCACUCUCCAUGUUUUGAAAUGACCUGGGUAACUGCUACCUUCAAAGCCAUACCACAUAAUAAAGACUUUAUUUUAAUUGUUCUAAGAUAGAUAUAAAAUUUAAAGCUACUUCAGGUGUACAGUUCCCCGGUAUGAAAUGAAUUCACAAGGUUGUAUGCAAAUCUAUUUCUAG